This 309-nucleotide unclassified non-coding RNA is filed under the name Hevea brasiliensis (rubber tree). The record is from RNAcentral. Lineage: Eukaryota; Viridiplantae; Streptophyta; Magnoliopsida; Malpighiales; Euphorbiaceae.
AGAGUUGAUGUGCGGUGUGGCUGCUAGGAUUAGGAGAGAGUGGCUACCCUCGAUCUAAAUGAAAUCUCAAUGAGUGUCAAUGAGUGAAAAUGAAUGUAUCAUUAGGAGAAUAAGAUGUGUAUUUAUAGACAUGUUACUAUAUAGGAAGAUUUAACCUAGGUUUAUUUAGGAAAAAAUCUAAUUUUGCUGCAAAUUUCUUCUUAUUUAGCUAAAAAGAUCAGAUCACCUUCAUAUUUAACUAAAAAGAGCAUAUAUCUUCCUAUUGAGGAUUCUAAUUUUCGACCAACCUAGAGAUUGGCUGCCUAUUAU